Molecule: ribosomal RNA, 431 nt
Filed under: Arhopala barami
Lineage: Eukaryota; Metazoa; Arthropoda; Insecta; Lepidoptera; Lycaenidae
Description: partial 12S small subunit ribosomal RNA
Source: RNAcentral
UCAUUCUAGAAACACUUUCCAGUACCUCUACUUUGUUACGACUUAUUCCAAUUUUUAAAUGAAAGCGACGGGCAAUAUGUACAUAUUUUAAUUUUUAAUCAUUUUAUUAUAUUAAAUAAAAUUACAUUUAAAUCCACCUUCAUUAUAAUAUUACAAAAAAAAUCCAUUUAAAUAAAUUUAUUGUAAUCCAUCAUAUUCUUAAUUAUAUUCUACAUCUUGAUCUGAAUUAAUUUUUAUUUUUAAUUUUUAAAUAUUAUUAUUAUUUUAAAAUAUUUUUUUAACAACGAUAUAUAAAAUUUUAAAUUAAGUAAAUUUAAUCGUGGAUUAUCAAUUAUUAGACAGAUUCCUCUAAAUGAACUAAAAUACCGCCAAAUUAUUUAAGUUUCAAUAAAUUAUUAUUUACUAUUUUAGUAUAUAUAAAUUAAAAUUUA